AUCCUAUGCAAAUUAGGUCAUUCCCAGAUUAACUGGGGGAAAAAAAUCUGGUCGCCUUAGCAGGCACCAUCUGUUCCCUCCUCAUUCUUUCCAUAUCUGAGCCCCACCCUCUCCUUCCCCAAGCAACUUGGAAACUUGUUUUCCUGCAGCUGAGAUAAGCGAUCUUUCAUGGGAGGGAAAAUCACCCAUCCCUUUCUCCCGUGGGCUGUUUCACUGUCUGGAAAGAAGCGCAGCCACGUGCUUCUCUCUCCUCCUUGCUGGGCCUGGCUCCCCUGUUUCUUCUCCUCUUUUUGGCCUGGGGUCUGUUGAUGGCACCCAGAAGUCCUCCUGCUCCCUCUUGUGGCAGUCAGAAGAGGAAGUGGAAAGGUCUUGAGGUACUGCAAUCCUCCUAACAUUCUGGGGGACUCGGAAUCUGCCUGCGUGUGCGUGCAUGUGUGUGCACGUGUGCAUGUGCAUGUGUGUGCAUGUGCGUGCACAUGGAUCGGUUGGCUCAUUGGCUGGGUGAGAGCCUGGUAUUUCUCUGAAAGCUGAGGAGGCUUCAGCUGUGCACUCUGGCUCCUUACUGUGACCAAAGUGGGGGCCCCUGGCUCCCUACUUCAGUGUUACUUCCUCCUUUAAGGAAAAUCGUUGGUCCUUCAUCCUGCAACAAAGCAGAGUCCCAGCUAACUUGAGGCCAUGAGUAAUUUGAGUGAUAAAUGCCACUGCUGUUGUUAGCCACUGGGAUUCUGAGGUUGUUACUGGGGCAGAGCUUAGUGAGAGCUGACUAACAAACCCUCUCUGAUCGUCAUCAACUUCUCCCCAAAGCUGCCUCAAAAAGAGAGAAAACUGUAAUAUGCUCCUGUGUAUUUUCUUAACCUAAGAUCAAAUGAAAAUAGAAGCAGCUUCAUAAAAAUGUGCUUUUCUCUUGAUUCCUUACAGGGCUACACAAGGGCACUUGCAUAUCUGGCUUCUAAAGCAGACCUCUGGGCAGAAGGGACAGUAAGUGCAAAGGCCCUGAGCCAGAGAGCCCAGCAUGGCUGGAUCGAUGUAAGCAAGUAGGAGGGUGAUAAGAAGUGAAGCAAAGAGGAGUGGGCAGGGGGCAGCCUGAGCCUCCCAGAGGAGGUGCAAUUUCAGCGCAGAAAUGCAAAGGACAUCGCUAUACUCUUUAUAGCCACUUGUUUUGUUUGUUGGCUUUUGCUUGUGUUUGUUGCUUUGUGGUCCUGGGGACUGAACUGGGGCCUCUGCACUAAGCUACACCCCAAGCCCUCUUUCAUGUUGAGACAAGGUCUCACUAAACUGCCCAGGCUGGACUUGAACUUGUGAGCCUCCUGCCUCACCCUCCCAGAGUGCUGGGUUCACAGGCAUGCACCACCAGGCCUGGCACUCUCACCGUGACCACCCAGUAGUGGUGAGUGAAAGGGUUUUGGCCCAGACAGGACACUGUAGCCGGGAAAGCCAAGGAGCUCCUAUCUCCCCCACCCCUAGGAAUUUACCUCUGGCGCCAAACAAAGACCAAUGGGCUACCUGUGCAUCCCUAAUGCCCCCUUAGGUUUCACCCCAAGCAGAGGCUACUUAUGUGCCUCACUCCACGUGUUCCACGGAGAGAUCCCAGACCCUGGGGUGGAGAUGCCGUUCCCCAGGGGAUCGGGGGUGUCUCUCCCUGCAUUCCCAAAAUAAAGGUCAUUUAUAUUUCA
Molecule: long non-coding RNA, 1673 nt
Organism: Cavia porcellus (domestic guinea pig)
Lineage: Eukaryota; Metazoa; Chordata; Mammalia; Rodentia; Caviidae
Exons: 2
Source: RefSeq, a predicted model, not a curated record